GCGGACGUGGUCGAAGUGGCUAUGACGCCGGGUCCUCGUCCCGGAGAAGAGGGUUCGACUCCCUCCGUCCGUC
This 73-nucleotide transfer RNA is filed under the name Myxococcales bacterium. RNAcentral describes it as "tRNA-Glu". It matches the Rfam family "tRNA". From Rfam's summary of the family: Transfer RNA (tRNA) molecules are approximately 80 nucleotides in length. The record is from RNAcentral. Lineage: Bacteria; Pseudomonadati; Myxococcota; Myxococcia; Myxococcales.